This 253-nucleotide ribosomal RNA is filed under the name uncultured bacterium. RNAcentral's name for it is "partial 16S ribosomal RNA". It matches the Rfam family "Bacterial small subunit ribosomal RNA", at positions 524 to 776 of the family's 1533-position model. The record is from RNAcentral.
UACGUAGGGGGCGAGCGUUGUCCGGAGUUACUGGGCGUAAAGGGCGUGCAGGCGGUGCGGUAAGUUUGGAGUGACAGUACCCGGCUUAACUGGGUAAGGUCUUCAAAAACUGCUGGACUUGAGGGCCAGAGAGGGACAUAGAAUUCCGGGUGGAGUGGUGAAAUGCGUAGAUAUCCGGAGGAAUACCAAAGGCGAAGGCAGUGUCCUGGAUGGUACCUGACGCUGAGGCGCGAAAGCUAGGGGAGCGAACAGG